Molecule: long non-coding RNA, 617 nt
Organism: Alnus glutinosa
Lineage: Eukaryota; Viridiplantae; Streptophyta; Magnoliopsida; Fagales; Betulaceae
Exons: 2
Source: RefSeq, a predicted model, not a curated record
AAGCCGGUGGGGCACACGCGCCAAGUAGGUUUCGAGCUGCCUUAGAACAUGGUUCAAGCGAGUUCCAUUGAAAGCCUCUCUCAAACAUUAGCACGCUGCAAUCCGGGCAAGCAAUUCAACCCAUCCCAAUCCAUUAACUUAUUACUACUUAACAAUGCAAUUAGAUCUGUGCGUUUCCACCGGUGUUAUCCUGUCACGCACUCCGCAGCUGCUUCCGCCGUCGUCCUCUAGUCCGAUUGUCACAAUCGGAGGUCGCGUCGUUAUUCCCUGACCGGCGCGUGGCCUGCACGCACUGGGAACUUGGUUCCUGGUUUGGCGCGUGAGGGCUGUGCUUCGCUCCUCCGACCUUUCUUGUGGCUGUUUGGUGGUGGUCUGUGGUGGUUGGGUGUUGCUGGAGUCUCGGGAUAUGGCGCGUGUGUCGCACGCACCGACUCAGGCAGUGACUGGCCCUUUCCGGCGAUGGCAGUGGAGUUUUUUGUUUUGGAUUGUAUAUUCUUUGUCUUUUCACAGUGUAUCUUUGCAAUGGGCUAAUAUUGUAUGGGCUUUUAGGUGGCUUUAUGUUAGACCAGGCCUCUUAUCUUUAGUUGGGUUGUGCUUCAUUGUAUUGUGAGGUCCAA